Molecule: long non-coding RNA, 422 nt
Organism: Hippocampus comes (tiger tail seahorse)
Lineage: Eukaryota; Metazoa; Chordata; Actinopteri; Syngnathiformes; Syngnathidae
Exons: 3
Source: RefSeq, a predicted model, not a curated record
GUCCUUUGCAUAAGGAUGGGUGCUCUUUGGCAAAUCCGUCGAGUAAAUUUGUUUUUCUAAUAUUUGUCUUAUUGAAAGACAAACGUUCGUUCCGUCGAUCUAGAUGUAUUUCUGUUAUUUGCCCACUAGAUGACGCCAAUUCCCCAACGAAAAAUCCGGCAUAAUCGAAGAAGAAGUCGAGAUCAAAGGUGUCCGUCAACUUGAAUAAAGGUGAGGUGAAGAAGACAGCCCGAAGGUCGUCAUUUCGGGUCACUUGGAGAACUUCGCCGGUGAGGUUCAGAAACCUGCCAACUACCGGUGGAACUCUUCGGAAGUCCAGGAUCCUAACAGUUCUGUACCUGUCCAGGUGAAACGCAGCAAUCUCUGCAUUGUGUCUCUGGACAUCGACAAAGAAAAAGACGUCUUCUGGAGUCUCCUCGUCC